RNAcentral lists this ribosomal RNA (297 nucleotides) under uncultured Pseudomonadota bacterium. RNAcentral describes it as "uncultured proteobacterium partial 16S ribosomal RNA". It matches the Rfam family "Bacterial small subunit ribosomal RNA", at positions 29 to 351 of the family's 1533-position model. Lineage: Bacteria; Pseudomonadati; Pseudomonadota. The record is from RNAcentral.
AACGAACGCUGGCGGCAGGCCUAAUACAUGCAAGUCGAACGCCUGUAGCAAUACAGGAGUGGCAGACGGGUGAGUAACGCGUGGGAAUCUACCCAGUGGUACGGAAUAACCCAGGGAAACUUGGGCUAAUACCGUAUGAGCCCGAAAGGGGAAAGAUUUAUCGCCAUUGGAUGAGCCCGCGUCGGAUUAGCUUGUUGGUGGGGUAACGGCCUACCAAGGCUACGAUCCGUAGCUGGUCUGAGAGGAUGAUCAGCCACACUGGGACUGAGACACGGCCCAGACUCCUACGGGAGGCAG